AAAACUUCACCCAAAAAGCUUCAUCCAAAAAGUUUCACCCAAAAAGCUUCACCUAAAAAAGCUUCACCCAAAAAAAAAAAAAAACUUCACCUCCAAAAAGCUUCACCCAAAAAGCUUCACCUAAAAAAGCUUCACCCACAAAGCUUCACCUAAAAAGCUUCACCCACAAAGCUUCACCCAAAAAACUCCACCCGAAAAGCUUCACUUAAAAAAGCUUCAUCUAAAAAGCUUCACCUAGAAAGCUUCAACACCAAAGCUUCACCUACAAAGCUUCAACACAAAACCUUGCUCCAAAUAAAAAAAUUUUGUUCACAAAACCCAAGAUGCCCUUGAACUUGUACAAAAACACUUGGGUAAACAUAAA
RNAcentral lists this long non-coding RNA (364 nucleotides) under Malus domestica (apple). RNAcentral describes it as "long non-coding RNA (MDOM_LNC007738)". Lineage: Eukaryota; Viridiplantae; Streptophyta; Magnoliopsida; Rosales; Rosaceae. The record is from RNAcentral.